Miniopterus natalensis is the source of this 2036-nucleotide non-coding RNA. The record is from RefSeq and is a predicted model, not a curated record. Lineage: Eukaryota; Metazoa; Chordata; Mammalia; Chiroptera; Miniopteridae.
CCAACCGGCCUGCCUCUCGAGUCACUGCCAUACUUUAAAAUCAAAGCCUGUCUGAAAAUCAAAUUCUACUUGACCUCCACUUACUAGCUCUCAGGCAGGUCUCCUUAAAACAAAACGCACCCUGAUAUGUCACCCUUGUGUUUUUGCAUCUUCUGCCGGGAGAACUUGAUCUCCUGGGAGCAGUUAGAGACCGGGCAAAAGUUCUGCCCUGGUCUCUACCAAGUGCUCUUUCUUGUAAAUCGGAAUUGCAGAAUAUUCCGCGAUUCUUAUUUGAAAGGAGCUGCAGAAAUCUUGAACAUUUCCCACCUUCGCCUAUCUCGUUUUUUGUUGUUGUUUUGGUUUUUUUUUUGAGAAAGAGAUCAAUCUCAAAUCUGAAUUUUGUUUUGUGUGUUGUUUUUUUCUCUUUAGCCGAAUUCUCAAAAAAUAAAGAGAUCGACUAUUUGGACGCUUUCCUUUGUGGCUGUGGUCUUUGGAUGACCUACCACCUGCUUGUCGGCUUAGGUUCUGUGAAAUAAUUUCUCCCAGUUGCAUGAAUGAAGCACAAGAUGAUUCACACAGAAGGGGGCGCAAACUGGAAAAGGCUGCAGUGAGUGGAUCUCAGAUGAGACAGCACAUUGUAGAUUAAAUCUGGGUUUGAACACUGUACAGGAAUUUAAGUGAGGGGCUCUUAUCAAAGUGCAGCCUAAAGUUUGUGGCAGCACAAGUGACUUUGAUAACUGUAUAAAAGCAGAUUAUUUCCCUGGGACACAGGUAGCCUUAAUGAUGUUUGAACACCUUGCCCUAACCAAGGGGUCAGUCUCUUUCUCUUUUAAUGUUAGGUUCAUUCAUGAAUUUAACUGAUUCUAUGUUUCUGUUUCUGUAUUUCUUAAGGAAAAAGAAGCUAAAGUUAUAAGCAACUAAAAUUUGAAGCCUGAAAUCCAGAAGUUGAAAAAAUAGAAAGCACUAGAAAUUGAGUUGCCAAGAACACCUCAAAUGAGCAAAUCAGAUUUUCCAAUAAAUAUUAGUUUUUCCAAUAUCUGGCAUUGUGCACUCAAAAUGAGGGUGAAAUGAGGAGACACAACUUGCUGAACUUGUAGGGAGAGGAGAAUCAGAGUGUGGAAAAGUAUGGAGUUUUAAAGAGCCUUUCCCCAAAGUCUUUAUUAGUGUAUUGGGUGCAUAGGCUAGAAAGUCCGUGCCUGUCUUUGCUGCCAACUAACCUUGUUGAAAUACACUCUCACUUUACUUAUUGGAAAGAAUCACUGCGAUAACUGAAGACAUAAUUAAGAAAUUCAUAUUUAUUCAUAGAGGCCUUUAUCAUGGCCACAAUCUUCCUACAUCAUAUGCAUUUUACCUCCUUUUUAAUCAUCUCAUAACCGAGCAAUUUAAAUAUAAAUCAAAUGAUUUGCAUUCUGUGUUUUUCCAGCGAAAUUUCCCUUUCUAAUUACUUACAACUUUCAUCUCUCUUCACUUCAAGGGGUUUCCUUUUUUUCUCCAAUGGCUUUUCCUGAAUCCUUAAAUCCUGUAUUCAUUGUUAGGAUUGAUUCCUUCUGCAGAAAACAUGUUGUUUUUGCUAGUGACCACAAGAGGACACAAUUUCCCAGAGAACUUUGUUUAAAAAAAAAAAAAGCUUGUGGAAGUGGAAAGCUAACAACAUAGCAAAAAUACUACACAAUCAACGAAUGUCGUUUUAGGGAUGUCUAGUUGAUUUAUGCCACUUUUAUUAAUUUUUGAAAACAAAAACAUGAGUUGGCAUUCAAGCUUUAGAUUUUUUUGGAAAAAUUAGUAUCUUUUUCUUUGUUGUAGAACAUAAAAGGAAAGCAUACAUGAAUGAAAGUAUACUAAAAUACCAUAUUAAGGGGAAGUGUUUAUUUUACAUUAGCAGAAUUUCAUACAAAACUCUUGCUGACCAGGAAUUUUAUUUUCUUAAGUUUAGAGUCAUGUUUGGCAAUGAAAACCAGUUUUUUAAAAAAUAUAUGAACAUUCCAAAAUGCUGUUGGAAGUUUGAAUUUUUAGUUUGGGCAUCUGGGAUGUCUUUACAUUAAAAAAUUACACUGCAA